Molecule: long non-coding RNA, 474 nt
Organism: Dioscorea cayenensis subsp. rotundata (Guinea yam)
Lineage: Eukaryota; Viridiplantae; Streptophyta; Magnoliopsida; Dioscoreales; Dioscoreaceae
Exons: 2
Source: RefSeq, a predicted model, not a curated record
GAACCACUAUAUAUAAGUCUUCCUUAAGUCUUUCUUAGUCUCUAACAAUAGUUGUCAAAGAUAGAGAUAAUGAUCAUUGGAAGGCAGAUGGCAGAGCAACUUAUCAGUAAUAUAGUUGGUCACUUGUUGGACUUCAUUCAACAAACCCUAACCCUAAUUCUUCACUUCUUGGGGAACACAUUGGUGCUUUUGGGUUUCUAGAAAGAUGAUGAAGGCCCCUGGAAGGAAUGGCACAAUAUUCAUUCCAAGGAGAUCUUUUGAGACCAACCCUAGAGGUUAUUUUAGAAACCUCAGGGGAAAAUAGUCCAACUUUGUCUUUUGAGAAGUUGUGUGUUUGUUAAUUUGUUUGAUAUAUAUAUAUAUAUAGUUUUUCAUGUAUAAUUUCAUUGUUAUAUAUAUGUAUGGAUGAUGUUUAUGUAUGAGAGGGUUGUUGAUGAUGUCCUUAUGAUUUAAUAAAUUAAAUAUUUAUGUUUA